RNAcentral lists this ribosomal RNA (391 nucleotides) under uncultured bacterium. Its description in RNAcentral is "bacterial SSU rRNA". It matches the Rfam family "Bacterial small subunit ribosomal RNA", at positions 28 to 417 of the family's 1533-position model. The record is from RNAcentral.
GACGAACGCUGGCGGCGUGCUUAACACAUGCAAGUCGAGCGGUAAGGCCCUUUCGGGGGUACACGAGCGGCGAACGGGUGAGUAACACGUGGGUGACCUGCCCUCAGCUCUGGGAUAAGCCUGGGAAACUGGGUCUAAUACUGGAUAUGACUCCACGGUGCAUGUCGUGGGGUGGAAAGCCUUGUGCGGCUGAGGAUGGGCCCGCGGCCUAUCAGCUUGUUGGUGGGGUGAUGGCCUACCAAGGCGACGACGGGUAGCCGGCCUGAGAGGGCGACCGGCCACACUGGGACUGAGACACGGCCCAGACUCCGUACGGGAGGCAGCAGGUGGGGAAUCUUGCGCAAGUGGGCGAAAGCCUGACGCAGCGACGCCGCGUGAGGGAUGACGGCCU